CGCAGCGAAAUGCGAUACGCAUUGUGAAUUGCAGAUUUCAGUGAACCAUUAGAUCUCCGAACGCAUAUGGCGCUGUAGGGACUUCCCUGCAGCACGUCUGUUUCAGUGUCUUU
RNAcentral lists this ribosomal RNA (113 nucleotides) under Eimeria cylindrica. Its description in RNAcentral is "partial 5.8S rRNA". It matches the Rfam family "5.8S ribosomal RNA", at positions 44 to 154 of the family's 154-position model. Rfam says of the family: 5.8S ribosomal RNA (5.8S rRNA) is a component of the large subunit of the eukaryotic ribosome. It is transcribed by RNA polymerase I as part of the 45S precursor that also contains 18S and 28S rRNA. Lineage: Eukaryota; Apicomplexa; Conoidasida; Eucoccidiorida; Eimeriidae. The record is from RNAcentral.